GAUGAACGCUGGCGGCGUGCCUAAUACAUGCAAGUCGAGCGAACGGACGAGAAGCUUGCUUCUCUGAUGUUAGCGGCGGACGGGUGAGUAACACGUGGAUAACCUACCUAUAAGACUGGGAUAACUUCGGCAAACCGGAGCUAAUACCGGAUGAUAUUUUGAACCGCAUGGUUCAAAAGUGAAAGACGGUCUUGCUGUCACUUAUAGAUGGAUCCGCGCUGCAUUAGCUAGUUGGUAAGGUAACGGCUUACCAAGGCAACGAUGCAUAGCCGACCUGAGAGGGUGAUCGGCCACACUGGAACUGAGACACGGUCCAGACUCCUACGGGAGGCAGCAGUAGGGAAUCUUCCGCAAUGGGCGAAAGCCUGACGGAGCAACGCCGCGUGAGUGAUGAAGGUCUUCGGAUCGUAAAACUCUGUUAUUAGGGAAGAACAUAUGUGUAAGUAACUGUGCACAUCUUGACGGUACCUAAUCAGAAAGCCACGGCUAACUACGUG
Molecule: ribosomal RNA, 497 nt
Filed under: uncultured bacterium
Lineage: Bacteria
Description: partial 16S ribosomal RNA
Rfam family: Bacterial small subunit ribosomal RNA
Source: RNAcentral